UGAGAUAAGUCCUAAGAAUGUGGU
Molecule: non-coding RNA, 24 nt
Filed under: Mus musculus (house mouse)
Lineage: Eukaryota; Metazoa; Chordata; Mammalia; Rodentia; Muridae
Source: RNAcentral